AUACUUACCUGGCAGGGGAGAUACCAUGAUCACGAAGGUGGUUUUCCCAGGGUGAGGCUCGUCCAUUGCACUCCGGCUGUGCUGACCCCUGCGAUUUCCCCAAAUGCGGGAAACUCGACUGCAUAAUUUGUGGUAGUGGGGGACUGCGUUC
Molecule: small nuclear RNA, 151 nt
Filed under: Fukomys damarensis (Damara mole-rat)
Lineage: Eukaryota; Metazoa; Chordata; Mammalia; Rodentia; Bathyergidae
Description: U1 spliceosomal RNA
Rfam family: U1 spliceosomal RNA
About the family: U1 is a small nuclear RNA (snRNA) component of the spliceosome (involved in pre-mRNA splicing). Its 5' end forms complementary base pairs with the 5' splice junction, thus defining the 5' donor site of an intron.
Source: Rfam by way of RNAcentral